RNAcentral lists this ribosomal RNA (1414 nucleotides) under uncultured bacterium. RNAcentral's name for it is "16S ribosomal RNA". It matches the Rfam family "Bacterial small subunit ribosomal RNA". The record is from RNAcentral.
ACGCUGGCGGCACGCCUAACACAUGCAAGUCGAGCGGGGUAGCAAUACCUAGCGGCAGACGGGUGCGUAACAUGUGGGAAUCUGCCUUUUGGUUCGGAACAACACGGGGAAACCUGUGCUAAUACCGGAUAAGUCCUUACGGAGAAAGUUUUAAUGCCAAAAGAUGAGCCCGCAUUUGAUUAGCUAGUUGGUGAGGUAAAAGCUCACCAAGGCGAUAAUCAAUAGCUGAUUUGAGAGGAUGAUCAGCCACACUGGGACUGAGAUACGGCCCAGACUCCUACGGGAGGCAGCAGUGGGGAAUCUUGCACAAUGGGCGAAAGCCUGAUGCAGCGAUGCCGCGUGAGUGAAGAAGGCCUUUGGGUUGUAAAGCUCUUUUGUCGGGAAAGAUAAUGACUGUACCCGAAGAAUAAGGUCCGGCUAACUUCGUGCCAGCAGCCGCGGUAAUACGAAGGGACCUAGCGUAGUUCGGAAUUACUGGGCUUAAAGAGUUCGUAGGUGGUUGAAAAAGUUAGUGGUGAAAUCCCAGAGCUUAACUCUGGAACUGCCAUUAAAACUUUUUCAGCUAGAGUAUGAUAGAGGAAAGCAGAAUUUCUAGUGUAGAGGUGAAAUUCGUAGAUAUUAGAAAGAAUACCAAUUGCGAAGGCAGCUUUCUGGAUCAUUACUGACACUGAGGAACGAAAGCAUGGGUAGCGAAGAGGAUUAGAUACCCUCGUAGUCCAUGCCGUAAACGAUGUGUGUUAGACGUUGGAAAUUUAUUUUCAGUGUCGCAGCGAAAGCGAUAAACACACCGCCUGGGGAGUACGACCGCAAGGUUAAAACUCAAAUGAAUUGACGGGGACCCGCACAAGUAGUGGAGCAUGUGGUUUAAUUCGAAGAUACGCGCAGAACCUUACCAACACUUGACAUGUUCGUCGCGACUCUAAGAGAUUAGAGUUUUCGGUUCGGCCGGACGAAACACAGGUGCUGCAUGGCUGUCGUCAGCUCGUGUCGUGAGAUGUUGGGUUAAGUCCCGCAACGAGCGCAACCCUCACUUUUAGUUGCCAUCAUUAAGUUGGGCACUCUGAAAGAACUGCCAGUGAUAAGCUGGAGGAAGGUGGGGAUGACGUCAAGUCCUCAUGGCCCUUACGUGUUGGGCUACACACGUGCUACAAUGGUAUCUACAACAGGAAGCAAGACUGCGAGGUCAAGCAAAUCCUUAAAAGAUACCUCAGUUCGGAUUGCACUCUGCAACUCGAGUGCAUGAAGCUGGAAUUACUAGUAAUCGUGGAUCAGCGUGCCACGGUGAAUGCGUUCCCGGGUCUUGUACACACCGCCCGUCACACCAUGGGAGUUGGUUCUACCUUAAGGCAAGGUUUUAAACCCUUGACCACGGUAUAGUCAGCGACUGGGGUGAAGUCGUAACAAGGUAGCCGUA